AUCACUUCUAGGCCUUUUGGCUAAGUUCAUGUGUGGUAUCUGUUCUUACCAGUUUAAUAUCUGAUGUGUCCUCUAACCAAGAGCAAUAUAGUAAAUGAAUUUGGGGAGCAGGGAGAUGGAAUAGGAGUUUGCCCUGUCCACUCUAUGCAUCUACCUAGUAUUGCAGUACCUCUAGUGCUCUGCUCACCCC
This 190-nucleotide small nuclear RNA is filed under the name Microcebus murinus (gray mouse lemur). RNAcentral's name for it is "U2 spliceosomal RNA (ENSMICG00000017941.3)". It matches the Rfam family "U2 spliceosomal RNA". From Rfam's summary of the family: U2 is a small nuclear RNA (snRNA) component of the spliceosome (involved in pre-mRNA splicing). Complementary binding between U2 snRNA (in an area lying towards the 5' end but 3' to hairpin I) and the branchpoint sequence (BPS) of the intron results the bulging out of an unpaired adenosine, on the BPS, which initiates a nucleophilic attack at the intronic 5' splice site, thus starting the first of two transesterification reactions that mediate splicing. The record is from Rfam by way of RNAcentral. Lineage: Eukaryota; Metazoa; Chordata; Mammalia; Primates; Cheirogaleidae.